AAGUUAACGUUGCAUUUAAUGUCAGUUUAACAUAUGUAAGAGUAUUUAAAGAGUUAAAAUCUAUUUAGCUCUAUUUGUAUUGAAAAACGUUACCUGCGACCCUAUGUUUUUUGAUUUGUGUUCUACGCUAACACAAAAAUGAAUAAAAUUCUGAUUUUGUUACUGACUGGAAUGGCCAUAGUAGUCGCUGAUGACUGCCGACACGUUUGCGACAACGUCACAUGUGCACCAGUGACAUGUUCAUCGAAUGAAAAAUAUGCAGAAAUGGGAACCUACUGCGGAUGUUGCCCUUCUUGCAAGAAAAUAUUAAAAAAAGGUGGAGACUGUUUGCCUUUGCUUUUCCACGAUGGUGCACCAAAAAAAGUAAUAUGUGAUGAAGGAUUAACAUGUACUUUUAAUUGGAAAACUGGGAAUACAGCGACAUGUGAAUGAAAUACUGUUCAUAAGAUUCUAAAGCUUGUACAGUGAUUUUACAACACCAGUUAUAUCAAUAAAAUAUUCUUUUUCCUA
Argiope bruennichi is the source of this 510-nucleotide long non-coding RNA. RefSeq lists it as uncharacterized. The transcript has 3 exons. The record is from RefSeq and is a predicted model, not a curated record. NCBI's taxonomy places the organism in Eukaryota, Metazoa, Arthropoda, Arachnida, Araneae, Araneidae.